This 532-nucleotide ribosomal RNA is filed under the name uncultured bacterium. RNAcentral's name for it is "bacterial SSU rRNA". It matches the Rfam family "Bacterial small subunit ribosomal RNA", at positions 8 to 524 of the family's 1533-position model. The record is from RNAcentral.
AGAGUUUGAUCAUGGCUCAGGAUGAACGCUAGCGGCAGGCUUAAUACAUGCAAGUUGAGGGGCAGCAUGAUAUACGCAAGUAUAUUGAUGGCGACCGGCGGACGGGUGAGUAAAAGGUAGGAGACCUACCUCAUACAGGGGGAUAGCAUAGAGAAAUCUGUGGUAAUACCCCAUGAGGUUAUAUGAAUAGAGGCAUAUAAUCAAAGUAUACGAGAGUAUGCGGUAUGAGAUGGGCCUACUGACCAUUAGCUAGUUGGUGAGGUAAGGGCUCACCAAGGCGAAGAUGGUUAGGGGUUUUGAGAGAGAGAUCCCCCACAUUGGAACUGAGAUACGGUCCAGACUCCUACGGGAGGCAGCAGUAGGGAAUAUUGGGCAAUGGGCGGAAGCCUGACCCAGCCAUGCCGCGUGAAGGAAGACGGCCUUAUGGGUUGUAAACUUCUUUACUAUACGAAUAGAGGUUAGUACGAGAUACUAAUAGGAAGGUAGUAUAGCAAAAAGCACCGGCUAACUCCGUGCCAGCAGCCGCGGUAAU